This 276-nucleotide ribosomal RNA is filed under the name uncultured prokaryote. Its description in RNAcentral is "partial 16S ribosomal RNA". It matches the Rfam family "Bacterial small subunit ribosomal RNA", at positions 524 to 800 of the family's 1533-position model. The record is from RNAcentral.
UACGUAGGGGCGAGCGUUGUCCGGAAUGAUUGGGCGUAAAGGGCGCGUAGGCGGCUUGUUAAGUCUGGAGUGGAAGUCCUCUUUUCAAGGGAGGAAUUGCUCUGGAAACUGGCGGGCUUGAGUGCAGGAGAGGUUAUCGGAAUUCCCGGUGUAGCGGUGAAAUGCGUAGAGAUCGGGAGGAACACCAGUGGCGAAGGCGGGUAACUGGACUGCAACUGACGCUGAGGCGCGAAAGUGUGGGGAGCAAACAGGAUUAGAUACCCUGGUAGUCCCUGA